GGCAAGGAUACUUUUUGAACCUAGCAUAAGAAGUCCUGUAGCUUAAAGUAUUCAGAUGUUGCAAGAUCAGGUUAUAGAGCCAGGAUUUACAUCUUCUCUAGGCUCUCACAUGAAGCUGCUGUAUUCUGGGAUGCAUCACAGAGGGAGAGUGUUUCUCUGCACAACCACAGUGGCUUGAUCAGGUUCCAGUUCUGCUGCAGCAGUCAAGUAUUUAAGCUUCACCAUGGGACACGGAGACCUUCAUUUCUGAAUGCCUCCUUAGCUGUUAGAUCUCUUUUCUAGGAGAUGGGAAACCAAAUCAAAAACAGAAGGGAUUUGAAUUUGAUUCUCCUAUUUUCCAGAUGAGUGUUACAGCCAGCUGCUCCAUGCAUCCCCGACCUUCCAAGUCAGAAAGGACUGACCUUGUUUCAUUGAUCUACCUCCAAAAGAGGAUUAACGACUACAACCCAACAGAAAGGAAGUUCCCUCAGUAAAUCCUUCGUUCUUGUGCAACAAUGCCUUUUGGACUUCAU
RNAcentral lists this long non-coding RNA (512 nucleotides) under Dromaius novaehollandiae (emu). RNAcentral describes it as "lncRNA (ENSDNVG00000004584.1)". Lineage: Eukaryota; Metazoa; Chordata; Aves; Casuariiformes; Dromaiidae. The record is from RNAcentral.